Molecule: long non-coding RNA, 37053 nt
Filed under: Vigna radiata
Lineage: Eukaryota; Viridiplantae; Streptophyta; Magnoliopsida; Fabales; Fabaceae
Description: long non-coding RNA (VRAD_LNC002994)
Source: RNAcentral
UUUUUUUUUUAAUUAUGUGGACAGCCGCGGUAAGCUUGUAAACUGAGUGUGAAUAUGAAUCAAACCUAUCAUUUUUACCUAUCAUGUACAAAACAACCAAAAUAAGAUUGCUAAAAUCAUUCCAAUGAAACCUCAUUAUUAUUCCUAAACUUUAGUUCUUCAAAAAAACAUAGUGAAUUUAGUUUCAAAAAAUACAAAAUGUUAUUUAAUUUACAUUAUCUUGUGAAUUUUAUUUUGUCAUCAAAUAUAAUUUUAAUUGCUAAUUUAGUAUUAUUAAAAACUAAAUCUAGAUUAUUUAUAUGUUUAAAGAUUAAAUUAUAAUUUUCAAUAUUUUUUGAAGAUCUAAAUUAAUCAUUGUAAUACUUUGAUUUAGGAUGUCACGUGUGAGGAAGAGAACAUUCUUUAUUUAGGAAAAUAAAACUUUGAUACUAUCACAGUAUAGAAAAAAUUUAAACUUUAUAUUAAGUUAUCUUGAAAAUAAAUAAAAACAUGCGAGAAUAAUAAUUAAUCCAAUUACAACUUGAAAUAACAUACUAACCUCUUUAUAAUUUGUUUAAAUAAAAACAAACAACCUUUUGAAAACUCCAAAAAUAAUUCUCCACUCGUCUAUCGUUCUUCGCCGCUUCAACAUCAUCAGCAACAACAUCUGUAACAUCAUCUGCUCCCGUAUAAUACGAUCAUUGCAGGUGGAAACCAUCACCACAAAUGCAAGGGUGAGCUAACAGAAUCAACAUCUAACUCAUAGAUAAUGAUAUAAUAUAAUAAUACAAUUAUCAAUUAAUGUUACUAAUGAGGAGCAUUGGUAAAUCUUGAAGUAAAUAGUUUUGAUGAUGCUACAAGACGUUUUACCUGAAGGAAGUAUUAGAAAUGUUUAAAAGCACUUUGUAGAAUAUAAGUGUAAUAGGAAAGUCUUCAAAUUUUGUAAAACUUGUAUUUUUACUGAAAUAAUCGAUUAUGAGAAGCAAUAAUCAGUUAUCAUGAGUCUUUCAGGAAUAAUCGAUUAUCAUUCCAAAUAAUCAAUUAUCACAUUUUGAAAAACCUGUAACGGACUUGAAUAAUCGAUUAUCACUUACAAUAAUCGAUUAUUAGUGACAGUUGGGACUUGACCUCUGAUAUUUAGAGUAGCUGGCUAUAUAUUGGACUUCUGAGAAUUUCAGAAGAAACGUUGUUGAAUAGAAGCUCUUGCAGAAUACUGUUUGUCAGAGGAAGUUCUCAAAAGCUAUAGUUCAAGUUCCCUUGCUUGGUCUCGUGAAUAGGAGAAGCUCGCGUUUCGUGUGUCGAUAGUCGGAGCGGUUCUCUUCGAGUUAGCAAGGUGCUCUGCCUGGUCUCGUGAAUAGGAGAAGCUCGUGUAUCAUGUGUCGAUAGUCGGAGUGGUUCUCUUUGAGUUGGCAGAGUGUUCUUCUUCUGGUUCGUUCAUCGAAGGAAAGUUCUUUUAUCAUAUUUUAUUUAUUACUAUUGUAAUAUGUGAAACUCAUUUUUAUAGUGAUUACCGACUGAACGUAGAUUCUUUUGAAUCGAACCAGUACAAAAAUUACUUGUGUGAUUUUUCUACUCCCUAUACUGAUAACUCUCAAAUUUUCCCUAUUUUUCUAGUCUUAGAAGUUUAUUUUAGUACAUUUUAGUUUCUUAUUUUAUAGAAUUAGGUUAGUUUAGUAUUUUUUUUUUCUUUAAAUUUAGAGUUUUGUUAAAAUAGUGUUAAUUUUGCCUUUUCAGUUAAAUAAAAUAGGUUUUUAAAUAAAUAGAUAUUUUUCCUUUUUAGAAACAAAUAUUUUGAGAAUGAAAAUAAAAAUUUCUUUUGUUGUUAUAGACUUUUAGUUUUUUUUGUUGUUUAUUUUUUUUCNUUAUUUCUUUUUGCAGUAUUAAACCUGAUCCAAGGGGGCCACAAAUCUGGCCAAGGCUGGUGCUGAAAUGGGCCGAAGUAAUAUGGCCAGUGUUUAUGGACUAAAGCCAUUUUGGGCAGCAGAUUAAUGAAACGCUCAUUCAAGCAGCUGUGUGUUUACUAAAGGAGUAUACCCGUGAAGAGGGUUUCAUUUCUCCAAAUUAGAAGCAAUUGGAGCUAGGACUCACAAAGAAGAUUUUCCCCAAAUUCUCUAAACCCUCAAUCUAGGGUUCGUGGUCCAGCAAGAGGGGAUCAGUCCGAUGAAGCAAAUCCAAAGAACGACAACCCAAAAACGGGAACAGCCUAAGAUGUUGAUCGGUCAGAAUGAAGGUUGGAAGCACGUGCUAAGCUUGAACGGUUUGAGAACCUGGUCAGAGUCAGUUGAAGGAUAUUCAAGAAGCUUCCAAGUUUGUUCAGAUUCUUUCCCCUUUCCCCCUCUUUUCAUCUUUUCUGUUUAUGUUUUCUCCUAUAUAAAGGAGUUUUGUAAAAUAGAAUAAGUAUGUGCACUGGGUGACAGGCAGUGUACUUAGAUUAGGUUCUCCUUCUCUCGCCUUAGAGUAGAUAGUGGUGAGUGACAGACAUCACUUGUAGGGUGUAUACUACGAUUCAGUUUUCGAUUUCUCGCUUUAGUGUUAGAUUUACCGCUUUCGUAGAAGUAGAUACUUUGAUUCUUGCACUGGAAUUCUUGGGGAUGAUCAAUGGGUGACAGACUUUGAGCUCUCUGGGAUUUCUGGUAUCUGUACUUUUGAUUUCCUUUUCUUAAUAAAAGUUGUUCUUUCCAAUUUCAGUUUNNNNNNNNNNNNNNNNNNNNNNNNNNNNNNNNNNNNNNNNNNNNNNNNNNNNNNNNNNNNNNNNNNNNNNNNNNNNNNNNNNNNNNNNNNNNNNNNNNNNNNNNNNNNNNNNNNNNNNNNNNNNNNNNNNNNNNNNNNNNNNNNNNNNNNNNNNNNNNNNNNNNNNNNNNNNNNNNNNNNNNNNNNNNNNNNNNNNNNNNNNNNNNNNNNNNNNNNNNNNNNNNNNNNNNNNNNNNNNNNNNNNNNNNNNNNNNNNNNNNNNNNNNNNNNNNNNNNNNNNNNNNNNNNNNNNNNNNNNNNNNNNNNNNNNNNNNNNNNNNNNNNNNNNNNNNNNNNNNNNNNNNNNNNNNNNNNNNNNNNNNNNNNNNNNNNNNNNNNNNNNNNNNNNNNNNNNNNNNNNNNNNNNNNNNNNNNNNNNNNNNNNNNNNNNNNNNNNNNNNUGUUCACUGUUAUUAGCAUAUCAUUUAGGAUAGGAAUUACGCAUUGCAUAUUUCAAUUUUGUUUCAUUCAUUUAAUCUUUAGUUUAAAUAGAUACAAUCAUGCAUUGCAUUAUCUUUUCAUAUUAGAUUUCAUUUUUACAUUUUAUUUUCCCCACCUAGUUUUUAGUAAAUAAAUACAUAAUUAGGCAUAAUUCUACAAUUCUAUCUUAAUAAGUACCAAGUCCACGGAUUAGACCCUAGGUUGCCCCUAUACUACAUUAGUGGGGAAUUUAGGUUUGUUGAGAUUUUAGGCGACAAAAAAUCCUUUCAACAUAUACUCUUUAAUUUUAUUUGCAUAUCAACUGUUCGAUAAAUUUUCACUUAGAAAAUUUAUUUUACAAACUGACCAUUUUAAUCUUAAAAAGUUGAGUGAACACGCUUUUCUCUACUUUAAGUUUUAUUCCCCUGCGUUAUACUCUAUCUCCGAACGAUAGCGAUUGUUAACCAACAAUAAGCUCAUAACAAUCCUACUAAAUCAAACUCACAACAUUGUUAAUCCAACUCCAACCUAGAGAAACCAUGCCACACUCUCGAUUACUAUCGCUACAUGUUUUCUUCCGUACUCCAGCACACAUGACCUGUUCACCUAAACCGGGCCUACGCACCAACGCAGGACUUUCUCGCAUCAUUUGCUAUUGAGUACGUAAAAAACCACAGGGUUCACAGUCACCCACUAGCAUGACUUAUCAAACAACCCUUAUGGAAAACAACAACUCAACCAACUCAUGUUCCACUCGACACACGUUCCAAUUAACGUUGCAACUACAAUGCAAGAACAACAUUCAAGAACUUUUAGUUUUUUUAAUAUGACAAAAAAUAAGAUAAAAGAGAAUAUUCAAACGAGAAGCUUACUCUAGAUACCAAAUGAUAAGAUCAUGUCUAGGAAAUAGUAUGAUCGUUUCCGAAUUUGAAUCCUUAAGAGAAACAAAAAAAUAAUAAUCAGAGAAGAAUGUGGAAUAAGAUAGGGAUGAGGACACCAUAAUCUAGCAUAUUGAUAAUUUAAGUAAAGAUUCACCAUAAAGAUAUUAAUAUUUGAUAAUAAUCACAAUUCUAAUCCAAGAACCAAGAUAAUCCUCUCUCAAAGAAUGGAAAUGUGUAUAUAUAUAUAUAUAUAUAUAUGAUAUGAUAUGACUUAAAAGUGUCUACAUAUGUAUUUGGUACCCUUAUAUAUAAGCACAAAUGUUUAAGCCACCUAAUAAACUCUUAAGAACCAAGAUAAUUCUCUCUCAAAGAAUGAAAAUGUAUAUAUAUAAUAUGACUUAAAAGUGUCUACAUAUGUAUUUGGUACCCUUACAUAUAAUCACAAAUGUUUAAGCCAUCUAAUAAACCCUAAAAGAGUCCAAAGACAUUAGACCCAAAAAUAACUUGAAAAUUUAAAAACAGAAACUAAUUGUCUGUAAUUAAAAGAAAACAAAUAUCGUUUUAGUUGUCUAAAUUAUUGUAUAAUUAUGCUCUAAGCCAUGAUUUUCAUGUCCCUUGAAUUCCAAUCUUCAUGGAGCAUCAUGAGUCUCAAGGAUAUUUGUUCUUCGAGCUAUUUGUUUCUUGGCCUUGUCAUAGGUCCUUUGAAUUGGAAUGACUUUUCCUCAAGUUCUUCUUUUAUAGGAUCAAGGGAUAGUCCUCUGUCAUAAUCUAUUUUAUAACCAUUGUUAGUCACAUUCAAUAUUUUAAUAAUUCUAAUUCAGGCCCUUAUCAAAUCAGAAUAUUAUCUUAGGGUAUCUACAUAAUAACUUUUUAUGACAAUUAUGUCCUUAAUGGAAGACACAACGUACAAGAAUUUGUUAUCACGUGUGUUUUAUGGGAUGUGUACCUUUCACACAAGUAUUUUUUGUAGAUAAUUUUUCCACACUAUAUUUCGUAAGUAAUGUUUGUAGAUAAUUUUUUACGCUUUAAUUUUGUAGUUAAUUACUAAUGAAUAAUUUUGUAAGUUACGUAUAAUGGUUACCUUUUUUAUGCAACUUAUAGUUUAUGUUAAUCCUCUCAUUAAUUUUUUUUUCCUCUUAUCGACUAAAGUUUAGUAUAUAUACCCAAUUAAGAAAAAUAAAAAUAAAAAUAAUAUUCAUUCUCCUUUUCUUAGUAUUAGAAAAAUAUAAGAUAUAUAAUAUAUGAUAUAAAAUAUAGGAUCUGAAAAGGAUUUAGAAUAUAUAAUGUUAUCGUAAAUUAUUUCAUAUAACAUUAUAAUAAUAUAUAUGUAGUUAUGUUAUUAAUAUUAUUAUAUCUAUGUUUUAUGAUAAAAUAAUAAUGAUUAAAUUAAUUAUGUUAGAGAAACAUUAAAAAUAAAAAUAAAAUAUAUGUAUAAGCUUUUCGUUAUGUUUUUUAUUUUUAUUGUAUUAAUUUUAUCAAUACUCAAGUAUAAUUUAUAUUAGUUUAAAGCUGAAUUUUUCAACUAAAUAAUAUUUUAUGAAACGAAUUUUUAAAAGUACAGACUAAUUUUAUUCUUUAUUAUAUUAUUCAAAACCUGUGAUGGACUGAGAUUGAAGGAUGUAUGGGGUUGUAAAUUUUAGUUAACUUCAUAGUAUUACAAAGGUUUAAUACUUUUUUUUCUCUCGAAAGAGGGGGAAUGUUCAAAUUCAUUAUACCUUUUUUAAAAAGUUAAAAUGGGUCCCAACUUGUGAAAAAACUAUUCAAGUUAAUCUUUUUUUGUUACGAUGUUAAUUUUUUAACAGUGUAGCUGACACCCUGGACAAAACAUAAUGACAUGUUAGAAUAUUUGAGUGUGUGAGGGUGAAAUGACAUGUAAAAAAAUAAAUUGGGAAAAAAAAUAAAUGGCAUGACACUGUACUCUGGGAGGUUAAAAAAACAGGGGUUAGGGUUCGAGAGAAAUCACGAAUUAGGAGUAAACAUUAUGGUGAAAGUGGUGUUCAAAUUGGGGUGUCGUCGAAGCUGAAAUUUGAAGAGCGAAUUCAAAAGUGUAAAUCAGGUUAGUGUUUAUGUUUUAUAAUUUUCCGAAUUUGUGUUAUUGUUUGGUUAUGAUAUUUGUCGCGUUGCCGCGUUUUGGGCGGGGGGGUUAACUACGGGUUAAAUUGUUGUGUGAAAAGUUGUCUUGUUUUGAGGGUUGAUAGUGGUCUCAUAUGUCUUAGUUUAACUUAAUUUAGUGGUCCCCGUUUGCAUUUGCAGGGUUCGAGUUGGGAUGUCUAAUGACAGGUUUCAGGUAGUGGUCCACCACGGUGAGACCUUGAUCAAAGAAGUGCCCUUUAAAUAUAUAGGUGGGGAGAUAGUUUAUUAGGACGUAGCUGACCGCAAUAAAUGGUGUUAUUUUGGAGUAUUAGGUUCACUUAAACAUCUGGGUUACAUUGAAAUACAAGAAUUAUAUUACAAUAUCCAACAUAUUUUACAUAAGCUUUAUGAUGAUAAAGGAGCUAUGGACAUGAUGAAGGUGGCUAAUUAUUUGGGAAAGUAAACCUAUAUGUUGUACAUGGGGUGGACGAACCAGUUGUUGUAGAAAAUUAUGAGAAUGAGAUUAUUUACCUAUGUGAAGGUCCUACAGAGAGUGUUGAGGGUAGUAUCGUUAGAGGAGAAGCACAUGUUGAUGGUGGUGAUGAAGGAAUUGGGGACGUAGAAGUUGAAUUGGAAAAGGAGGUUGAGGAUGAGGGUGCAAUGAAGGUUGAGAAUGAGGAUGCAGUGGAGGUUGAGAAUGAGGUUGCAGUAGAGGUUGAGAAUGAGGAUGUAAUGGAGGUUGAGAAUGAGAGUACAGUGGAGGUUGAGGUUGAAAGUGAAUAAGCAGUGGAAGUGGACAGUGAGGAUGGAGUUGAGGUUGAUAGUCAAGAAGAAGUGGAAGUGGACAGUGAGGAUGAACCAGGAAUGGAUGAUCUGAGUGGUGAUGAAUACGUGGAUCAAGACAGUGAUAAUGAAACCCAACAACAGUAUAGGGGUUUGUCAGAGGAUGACAACAAGGAUAAAUUAUGUGUAGGUCCCUUUUCAAAAUAUGCAAAACAGAAGUCGAUGCCAGAUUAUAGGUGGGAAGUGGGCAUCAUUUUUAGCAAUAAGGAAGACUUUGAGGAUGCCAUUAGAAGGUAUGUUGUUCAUGUUGAUAGGACUCUAAAAUUUGUGAAAAAUGAUAAUCGUAGGAUGAGGGUUAGAUGCAUGGGUGGCUAAGGUAAAUGCCCAUGGGUAGCUUACUGUGGAUAUUUGCCAUCACGCAAAAUUUGGCAAUUGAGAAAGAUAAUUGACACUCACAGUUGUAGUAAGUAACUUAACAAUAAACUGAUGAAUGCUAAGUGGUUGAGUUAGGAAAUAGAUAGGUCUUUAGUUGACAAUCCUAAUCUGAUGUGGAGGGCUGCCAUAUGUACAUAUCCCCAGGCUUGGGAGAGAGAAAUGUUGAAAAUUAAAGAAGUCAAUAUUGAAGCAUAUAAAUACCUCAUAGGCAUUCCCAUGAGGUAACCCAUUGGCCAUUACAUGCACAUUUCAGUCACUCAUGCAUUGUAACCCAUUUUGGAAAUUUUUGUGCAACAGGUUUUGGUCAAGAUCUCACUUCACAGGUCAAACAAUGCGUGAUACCCUAAAUAGCAACAUCAGUGAAGCUUUCAACAAUGUUCUUGUUCAUGCUAGAGGAAAACCAAUUAUCACCAUGUUGGAGGAUACCAGAGUUUAUCUCAUGAAAAGAUGGGCCACCAAUAUAAGUAAGGUGGCAUAUAUGGGCUUCACAAUAUCCCAAAGAUAAAAGAGACUUCAGAAGGAAUCAAAUUUGUCAAGAUUUUGGGUCUCAAGGUAAUAUUAUCAUUUAUGUUCAUAUACAUUUGUCAUUUAUCUUCAUUGUUGAAGUGCUUUAUUUAUUUCAGUUGGCCUGCACAAAAUAUUUUUGAGGUUAGCCACACUUCAGCCGUUGAGAACAAGUUCACACUGGACUUGGACACUAAAAAAUGUAGCUGCAGAAAGUGGAUGAUCAGUGUCAUCCCAUGCUAUCAUGCAAUUGCAACAAUGAACUACUCAAAUGUAGACUCAGAGAAUUUUAUACCCACUUGCUUUAGAAGAUCCACAUAUGAAGAAGUGUAUGCCUCUAUAAUUUUUCUAGUGAAUGACCACCUGCUAUGGGAAAGAACAACCUUCUCUGAUGUACUGCCACUAGUGAAGAGGAAGUUGCUUGGGAGACCAAAGAAAAAAAGGAGGUUGGAGGCAUGAGAGCUAACUAAGGAUGACACUCAAAUGCGUGUUGGUAGACAUAGAAAAAAAUGUAGCAUUUGCCGUCAGAAGGGGCACAACAAGAAUAACUACCCUUUACGUCCCCAGCCAGCAGAAACAACAGAGCUAAUGGAUGAAACACAACCAUCAUAGGCACCUCCAAGUACCCAAACCCUAUACCAUUACAGCCACCAAGUCCCCAAUCAACCCAUCCACUAGUGUUGAGGACAAAAUUAGAUGUUAGAAGAAAAGCUACUUAGAUGAAUUAGAUGUAUUAUGUACUGUGAUUAAGAACUUUAUGUCUUUACUUUCAUGGUGAUGUACUGUGCUUCAUGAACUUUAUUUAAGUAUCUUGGUCAUAAGUUGUACUCAUAUUUUGCUCAUGUACUGGUAAUAUAUAUGUAUGGUAAUGAAGGAAAGUGCUUUGAUGAAUUAACCUAUACUCAUAAUUUCUUAUUUCUUCAUAAUCUUAUGUUAACAGUUUUGUCAUCAUCAUAUACAUUAUUGGCUUGACCUAUGUGAAUAUUUUUAAAGCAAAUGGGAGAUUGAUUCGAAUAUUCUCCACUGAAUUUAACUCAUUAAAAUAGUCAAUGCUACGUAAUACAUUGCAUGACUGAUCUUACACCAACCAAAACACCUUGACAUUGCCAACCUACUUUUUUCAAGCAUCCAAUACAUUACAUGAAUGUCAACAAAACAUAAAAGAAACACCCAAUUUCCCCACCUCAGAACCUGAAAGUCACAAGGUUCAGCGUAAUAUACACAAACAAAGCUACAACUAACAACUUCAUCCUUUUCUUCAAAUCCUUCACUACAUUUUCCAGAUCACUUAUCCUCCUCACAAUUGUACAAUCUUUUUCAUCAACGUUUUUUUUCAGAACACCGCUUGAAAAAGUUACACGAGCUCCCAAUUGAAGAUCCACCCUAUUAUUCACCAAGUUAGGGAAUCUAUCACCAAAUGCAUAAAGUGAAGAAAACAUAAACUCGGAAGGGUAUACUUAAAACCUUGUAAUGAGAACAUCUCCAAAAAUUUCUGCCAGCAUUCUCCGUAGUUCCCGCGACUUUGGUUACAACAAUAUUACCACAGUAACAAAUAGGGAUUAUCCCACCUCCCCUCCAACCAUCACCAUGAGACAAACGCGAAGAUCCUUUGACCCAACUUUUCGAAAACGAAGAACACCCUUGGGAAGAAGCCAUUCCUAUCUCGCCCCAAACACUUUUCUCACCUCAACGACUAAGUUGGAGGAACCUAAACCCUAACCCCUCUUUUUUUAACUUCUGCCACGUUAUCUAUUUUUUUUUUCACAAUUUUAACCUCAAAUAGUCACACGGUCACAUAAAAUAGACACGUCAUUAUGUUUUGUCCAGGGUUCAGUUACACUGUUAAAAAAUUAAUGUCAUAACAAAAAAGAAUUAAUUUGAACAAUUUUUUCAUAAGUUGAAACUCUUUUUAAUUUUUUUAAAAAAAGUAGGACGAAUUUAAAUAUUCCCUAUUUUUCAAGGAAUCAAAAGAGGCAUUAAGCCUAUUAUUAACAUUGAGUUUAAAAGUUGAAAUUUGUUACAUUAUAGUUUUUAUGAUUUAUAACUUCUGAAAAUGUAUAUGUAUGAAGAUUUUUUUUAAAAUAAUAACUUGUAAAGGAACUGUUAUAACAAUAUUUAAAAAUUAGGUAAAUAAAAAUCACUUUCCAUAUAAGGUUUUUUUCUUCUUUUUGUGUUAAAUUGAUAUCUUUUAAGAAAAUAUAUAGUAUUUUUAUCUGUAAAACGUUGAUUAUGGACUGAAUUCUUUUCGGUAUAUUUUUUUGAAAUAAUAACCUUUCACUACUCUAUUUUUUUUUCGUAAAAAUUCCAUUUUAGUUCAUAUUUUAUAGGAUGAUAAAAAAAUUAUGACCUCUUUCAAAAGACAACAACAUCAAGUAAUUAUUUUUAAGCUAAAUAAAAUUAUUAUGAACUAUAAAUUUUUCAAUGUUUAACUUAUUUGUAUAUUAUAUUCAAACUCGAGGUCAUGUAUUAAAUAUUCAUAUAUAAAUUGAUUCAAGUGUUUAGUAAUAAACUCUAUUUAUUCUUAUAGUAAUCCUAGUUGUAGACAAGUUGUUCUUGUGUGACAUGGAUAUAAAUAACCAUGUGGAACUUGUUUUCCCUGUUUUUUUUUUCUAAUAACAUGUGCCUAGUUCAAAUUUGUUGGCCCCUUUCUAAACAUUAUCUGGGCCCAAAUUGGAAAUGAAUAGUACUCCAGUCCUAUGUAAAAUGAUUGACUUCUGUUGACUAAUUUUUAUUUUUGUAUAUAAUAUUCUUCUUCUUUGAGAUUGAUCAGAAGCAUGCCUAAUUCCUAGUUACAAUUUUAAUAUGAUAAAAAAAGUGACUCAUUCUUUUUGCAUUAAAAUUAUAAAGAAGACUAAUUCCCUAUAUAACCCUAUAUGUUUUAGUUAGAUCUUUGCAUUAAUUAUGCACUUUAAGUUUCACUUUUCCAAUUCAUGGCUUGUGGUACUUCUAAGAAUGAUGAUACAAAUCAUGAAGCAGAAAAGAAAGAGAAUAUAAUCACAUUGAAAAGUUUGUCUGGUGGACUAUUGAUUUUUCUGUAACGUGUAAUAUUGUGUCAUGUACAAUGUUGACUAUAUAUGCAGAUUACGUGCUCAAAUUAUUACUUACAUGAAUUCAUAAACAGUAGCCAUGCGCAUAAUGUUUCAUUGCUUCGUCGCUUUAAAACAUGUAACAUGUAAUUAAAUUUAUUAAUUCCAAGCACUAGUCUGAAAAUCUAAAUUUUACGUUGUAAUUUAUUCUUAGCUUUAAUAACUUAAAGUUUGACAUCAAACUAUUCCUAUUGUUAACCUUUUAUUCUUUAUAUUUCUUCAAAUUUACUUUAAUUGUUCUAUCAGAUAUAUUCAUUGAUAAUUUAUUGUUGAUUUAAUUUACCCACAAAUAAAUUCGUCAGUAAUUUAUUUGAUGAAAUCAAAUUUAUAUUUGAGAUUUUCUUUUCCUAAUUUUAUUUUUUGCUUUUUUUAAAAAUAGUCUACUUUGUAACAUUAUUUCUUUGUAUCAUUAGUGUAGGGCGGAGGUGAGUGGAUUCAAGUUCUGAUCGGGUUGUAGUUCAAUGGGAAAUAACCUAUGUUAUAAUGUUUUGCAAUUUGGAGAAAGGAUACAAGGGACACCUUGAGUUUGUAUGUUCUCAUAAAAGAUAUAAUAUUAGAUUUUUUUUUUUCUUGUGGAUGGGUAUUGGUACGUGGACAUUGGGUAUGUACGGAUUAUGGUAUCAAAGUUUGUUGUUAUUGGUCGUGUGGUCUCUAAUUACUUUCUUACUUGGUAUGGUUGUUUCAGAGGUAGGGCAUUUACGUUAAAUGUUUUCCAUGGUGUUGGGUGGGGUUACCAUGGUUUUUGUCAUUGCUAUCACAAUAUCUCCUAUACCAUCUUCCUAUACUGUGAUGGUGUGCUCAAGAAAGUCUUGUUUUUGUAAGUAGGUCCUAUUUUAGUAAUUAGGAGAGUGUUGUAGGAUGAACAAGACAUGUUUUGAUAAACAAGAUCAUGGAAGUCUUGCUUUGGAAAGUGUGCCCUAUUUUAGUAAACAGAUCAAGUUGCUCGAGUAUGGAAGAGAACAUAGUAAAAGAUGGUGAUAACAUGGUUUGCUUGGAUUAAAGUUGGUUUGGCAUGGUUUUGUUGUGUGGUGAUUUAUUUGAAAUAAGGGCAUAAUGAGGUUAGAUAUCAAUUUUAAUUAUAUCAUUAUAUGUUGUUUUGAUGUUUAUUUUGUUAGUUCACCCUUACGUUUUGUGGUUGUGGUUUCCGCUUUGAUGACCAUAUUCAUACGAGAGCAGAUAAUAUUACAAAGGUUGAUGUUGAUGGUACUAAUGUGAUGUAGAAUGAGAGACGGUGGAGAAUGAUUCUCGAAGUUUCCAAAAAGUUAUUUCUCUUUUUAAUUAAUCAUAAGGAGUCUUGGUACAUUAAUUCCAGUUGUAAUUGGAUUAUUUAUUGUUAUAGCAUAAACUUUAUUAUUUUUAUGACAACAAAAUAAAUUUUUAAAUUUUCACUACAUUGAGGUGGUAUCAUAAUUUUAUUUAAUUGAUGUCUUUUGUGUUUGGUUGGGUUAGAUUUUAAUAGGGUUGUUUCCUUUUGUCAAAGGUUAUUGCGGUAGUAAUGUUUUAACUUAUAUGUUUGACUUGCAUUUUGGGCUUACAAUGUUGAUAUUAGUUGUCUUGCUUCUAAACUCCAUAUUGUAAUUUCUUACAAAACAAAAUCAUGAUCCCUACAAACUGCAUUGUUUAUGUUUUCUAAAACUUAUAUAAGAUAAAUUGUGAGUAUGGUGGACGAUUUAAAUGGGGAUUGUAUUUUGCAGAAAGAUGAAUAAAUAAGUCUUGAUCGUUUAAUUGCUUAUAAUUCAAGAUAUCUCUUUUAUAUCUUUUGUUUUGAUUUUUAGGCUAGUUAAAUAGCUACCUUUAAGAUGAUUUAUAAUUAAGAGAUGUUGGAAAAAGAAUGGAUUAGUUUUAACACCUAGAAGAUGAAUUGGUGAAAAUAAAAAAUCAGAAUCUUUUCAAAAUCUUUUUCACAAAGUGUAAACCUUUCAAAAGUUUCUUGAAUCUCGUAUGAAAAAGAUAAAUCAAUGCAGCAAAAAAUAGUUGACGAUACUGAAAAUAUAGUCGACUUUAAAAUAAAGAGAUCAAGGAUAGAGAAAUUCAAACAUAGUUUUUAUACUAGUUCGACCAAACUGCCUACAUCCAGUGUCCUUCCUCUAACCGAAAGCAAAUGCACUAUAAUGGUCAAGGUUUUUACAACAAGGUUUCUAUAGGGACCUUCAUGUCAAAAUAUAAAACACCUCUCUAACCCUCUAACCAAAUAUAGGCAUACAACACCUAAAAAACAACAAGAUAUCCCCUCUCCUACAGUCUUUGUCAACUUUGAACAAUCCUCAAAGUUUUCCUAGCUCUUCCUGUAAUCACAAUAGGGCAGCCACAAUCUUCACAAGAUUGAGAGAAGUAGAUGAUCACGUUUCCAGUACACCUCAAUGUGCAGUAUGAUCAAGCCUUUCUUUCAACACAACCUUGCUCGUUAAAUAACUAUCCAAGAGAGAUCUCCACGGUCUUCUUUAUAAGUUCUUAGAGCUUUUCACAAAGAUCAAAAUCUGAAACAAUAGAAUGAAAUUGCUAGAAUAACCAAAGUCCCUGUGUAAAACAGAAUCACGUCUAUUUAUAGUUUUCUGUAAAAAAGACGCUCUUGUAGUCGACUUCACUACUAAUCCAGUCGACUUCAGUCAAACAAUUAAAAUAGUUAAAACCAAUUAGUAGCAGUCAGACCAACCAAAUUGAUUGGGCAUUUAAUUCAGUUGACUUGCAAUUAAUGCUUUGUCAAAUAGACAAUAUAUAGCUGUUAUAGUUCACAAACAUUAACAGAAAUUCAAAACAUAACUAACUAAGUCGAGUUGCCUACGUAGACAGUCGACUAUGUCACUUCAAUGUAGUUUUGAAAAUCUUUCCUUUGCAAAAAUACUCACAACACUGUUUUUGAAAAUUUGUGCAAAGUCACGAGUUUUAAUCGACUUACUUCAUAAUGAAGUUGACUUAAAACUUGCAGUUUUGCCACACAAUAUAAGUUCAACCAAGUGCAUGUGGUUUUCUUUUCUAAACACAUAUGUAAUGAAAUCACAGAAGAUAUCUCAUGUAAAGAUCAGUGAAUAUGCACACAUAUACAAAAUUAACACAAACAUGUUCUUCAAGAAUUCAUACACAAUAAAGUUUUGAACAUGUAACACAUAUCAAUACAUGUGUUAUUAAUAAUGUGUUGUCAUCAUCAAAAACCAAAAAUACUGUGAGAUUAAGGUUUAGCUAAACCAGUACUUCCCUUAUCAACAAUCUCAACAAGAGAUGUGGGACCUAAACCCUGUUUAAACAUUACAUUUCAUAUUUAAGAUCUCUGAGUCCUAUAUCCCUUAGUUUACUCAACCUACUUCCUCUACUACACCUACAUAGGCAAACCUAAGGCUUCCUUUGUAUUUGCAUUAAAUUGCAUUUCUUCUUUAAGAUACAAUUUAUCUCUUAGUUUGAAUUUUGGGUCUUAUCUUGUAAAAAACAAGUGGCAAUCCUUCCUUAUUAUUCCAUAUCAUGUAAGAACUAAACAAAUAAGAACAAAAAUGAAAUUAAAAGGUAUAAAAUGAAAAGGAGAAAAGGAAAAGAAACUUAGGAAAUUGAAGCCACGCUGUUUGGAGGGAUCCAAUAUAAGUGCAAGGGAGGAUCAUAAUUUGUUCUUUAAAAGAUAAGUCUCAAAAUAAUUUAGACUAAAAGAUAUAUUAUCUUAAAGAAAAAAUGUAAUUUAAUGUAAAUCGCUUUAAUUUUCAUUUAGUGAAAGGUUUAUUACUACAAAUGAGGCCUUAGGUUGCUUAUAUAGGUGUAAGAGAGGAAGUAAAUUAAGUAAAUUAAGUAAAUUGAAAGAUGUGGAACUUGGAGAUCUUAAAUUUGAAAUGGAACGUUAUAAACAGGUUUUAGGUACCACAUUUCUUAAUUCUACAUUACCCUAAAGAUAUAUAAGCUACCCAACUAGUGUAAAAAUCAAAACUAAAGUUAUAUCAUAGAUAACUUGAAUUACAAGCAACUAAAAGAGGAAAACUUUUUUAUUAUUUUUUCUUUUUAGUCCAAACUAUUUGGAGUCGCAUAUUGAUUGCACUUUAAAGAAAAAAAGGAUCUAUAAGUAUCUCUACAACCAAACUAAGGAACUAGCAAGGCAAAAUACAAACCUAUGAAAAUCUAUGCUAAUAAAGGCCAAAAUACAUGUUAUAAAACCUAUUCUAUUCUUUUCAUUUCUUCAUGUUUUCCUUAUGUCUUGAGCCAUUUAUGAUCACAUCAGAUCAGCCCAAUGAAAAGGGGUGAACUCAAAAGCUAAUCUGAGGUUGUUCACAAAGGGUGAACUCAGAAUUAUAGGUAGGGGUCAAAGACCCUGUUAUUUUCUUCAUUCUGUCUUUCUUGUGGACAUCUUGGUGCCCUCGUAAUGUUGUGAGAUUGCAUUUUAGUGCAUUCUGUUUUCAAGUCAUAGCAUGCUUUGUAUUGAUUACAAAAUGUAGUUUUAAAGUACAUGGACAUAAGGGUCUAUAUAAGAAAAUCCAGAUUUAGAUAAAGCCGUGUCUCAUGGAAUGUUUGCAAAUAAAGAAACUGUUUUUGGCACUGUAGUAGAUGCACGUCAAACUUCUUAGUAAAAAAGGAUUCACUGUGAUUUAUUUAAGGUGAUAUCAUAUGUCUUGCUUCUAAAGUAUGCUUUAGUAAUUGUUUUUACGUUGCAUGUUGCUGUUGAACGUGGAGUAAAAUUUUGAGUAGUAGACAGAGAAGAAAAGUGGAUCCCCUAUCACUUUCUUAUGAUUCAAUAGUGGUUUUCAUACAAAUAGUAGCGAACACACUAUAAACUGAAGAACUUUGUAAUUAAAACAGCUUAAACUCAAACCAAAUCUACUCUAGGAAAGCAAUAAAAUCUACCAAACUAGCUUUGUAGUGAAGGCAGGUUCAUAACAUUAGAGAGAAGGAAAACUCAGAACUGUAAAAUCUGGAAAAGGUUUUCUUAUUAGUCACUAUGUGGUUUUCAUCCAUCUCUAAUUUUGAUAUUCGCAUUCCGGUUCUGCAACACCCCGGACUCAUCAUUUCUAAUAGCAUAUGGCAUAUUACUGCAAUAUCUUCGCACUGGUUUUUUAUUACAUUAGUCUACUACAUCAUUUAAAUUGAAGAACUUUAGUUCAAAGUCAAAAGGAAUAGAUAAUUUGGUAGAAAGAAAAAAUGAGGUAAAUUAGGAGUUAUGAUUGUAUUCUGUUGAACAGUACGUAGCAUCAACUUAUGGGCUUUGCAAGUUUAUUGGAAGACAGGAUAUGAAUGACAUAGCACGGGGGAAUCUAUUGAUUGAUUUUCUUCACUCUCGGUUCUUUGCUUAUUGGUAUAACAAUCAAAGAAUAUUACACCCCGAUUGUACUUUAGUUUAAGUCAUAGGGAAAAUUCUCAGCUAAACUUUAAUGGUUGCAGAAGAGUAAUAUAUAUAUAUAUAUAUAUAUAUAUAUAUAUAUAUAUAUAUAUAUAUAUAUAUAUAUAUAUAUAAAGACCAUAUCAAUUUGAAUUGUAAUGUGUAACAGCAAUAGGUGGUAUAAAGUGAAAAUAGAAACUUCCUCAUUUCUCUUUAUGCAAGUGAUAAAAUAAAUUGGAGAAAGAAUGAGUGUGUGAGAGAAAAAGAAUGGAGGAUUCAUGCAAGUUGUGGUAAGAUGCAUUGUUUCAUGUGUGGGGUCGGGAAUGAAUAGGACACUCCUUCACACUUUCUAUCGCGCUUGUUUGGAUAAUUUUGUUCGUCUUUUGUUAAAGUCCUUUCUGGUUAAUGUUCCAAACCGCUCGAGGAUACUUGUCAAAGGCAUUUCGAUGCUUAAGUCAUUAAUUAAUCCAGACGAUGGUUAGAGCAAAGUCAUAAAUUCACAAUAAAUAUGAUCACUUACUUUUUAUCUUUGACCUCUAUUUAUAGUUUUAGAGAUGGGCUUAAGAUUAGCAAAACCCUAAUCACGACCCCAAUCUCGGUCCAUUAUCUACUAAUUAACACUUACUCUUAACCUUGUCUAUUUGGUCUUUACCCACAUUCGGCCGAGCAAUCAUCGUCUUAUUUUGUUCAAUUUCAUGGGUUCAGACAUAUUCGAUCGGUCAUCCCUCAAUGGCUCUUUCUGCCCGGUCUUAGCUAUGUUGUCAUCUGGCCAUACAGUACAAAGGCCUCCCAAGCCCUAGCCAACCCUGGGUGGCGUUGGAUUUGAUACAUGGGUGGUGUGGAGUAGGUCUCGUGGCUAUGGUUGGAGCUUCCCCAUACGACGUGAUUUGAAUUUGUGGUAGUGGUGGGAAGACACUUGUCUUAUUAAUUAUGUGUUGUCAUCAUCAAAACCAGAAGAUCUCUGAGAUUGUAAGGUUUGGCUAAAUAAGUGUUCCCUCUAUCAAAAAUCCCAACAACCUUCAACAAAGAAAGGUCAAACCUUCAACACAAAAGAAAAAGGACACACCUUGAACUAAGAGUACAGAGAGAACAGAGGAUUGGAGAGAGAACGGAGAGUGGAGAAAGAACAACAAAGAAGUUGAAUUAUAGAGAGAGAAUGAACCCUCUUUUUCUGAAUGAAAAAAGCAAGGGUAUUUUGGAAUUCAUAAGUGUAAUAUGAUUACAUUUUCCCACGUUACCUUUUUCAAAUAAAAAAUUUAUUUUAACCUUCUCCAAUACUGUUUUUAGACAUGGCAAUUGUGAAAAAGUUAUAAAAAAAAGGUUUAAUGUCUCGAUAAGUCCUUAUUUUCGUCCUGAAUCUCAAUUAGGUCCCUUUUUUUUCGACUUCUCGAUUAGGUCCUUAUUUUUGUAAAAUUGAAUCAAUUGAGGGUCUACCGUCAAAUUAAACAAACUGUCGUUUAAAUUUACUGACGUGACAUUAAAAACGAAUUUUAUAUUAAAAAUUUGAAUUACACAAGUGUGAAUUCAAAUUUAAGAAAGGGCAAAGUAGGCAAAAUCUAAAAUUUAAGUGCAGCCCCUAACUUCAAUCUUCCAUGUUCAUUUCAUUCAACUCAAAAUUAUAUUCUGUUCAUCAGCAUCCUUCCCAAAUUCCAUCAACGUUUCCCUGUCCUUAUCAUACAGCGGGCACUCAUUCUCCAACUAACAAAGUUGGACUACCAACUUAUCAAACUCCAGUGCCAGUCUAUGAUUCUCCUCCACGAAUUUCUUCAAAACUUGCACUCGCUUCAAACUGCUCUAAAAUACCCAGAAUUCCCAUCAUCAAAUUUUCAAAAAAAAGAAAAUGAAAGAUAAAGAUUCAAAAGACCAAUCUUGCAUAAAACAAAAUCAAAUGCAACCAAAACAAAAAGUAAAAAGCCUUCCAAUUCCAACAUUAAUAAACAACCAGUACAUGAUUGGAUUAAUGUGAGUAUUUCAACAAUUUACUGAAGCUUCACAAUUGAGAUUUCCCAAAUGCAGAUUAAAAAAUGAUGAUAAAAGCAAACAAAGAGGAGCGGACCUCACCUCGUCCACAUUAAAAUCCCGAUCAAUUAACCGGUGUCCUGAGUUCUCCAAUUCAGAAACCCUAACGCUCCUUCGAGUUUCUUUCGACACUUUCGCGACGGCGGAGUCCAAAUCCUUGCGGAGGAGCGUCCCUCCCAUGAUGAAUCCCUCUUGUUCGAAGGCAAAGAGCGUCUUGGACUGCGACGGAGAAGAACAAAAUGGAAAGGUGAGACCUUGAAGGAAAUGUAAAUGUUAUUGAUGGUGGCCAAGUCGUUGAAGGAGAUGACGUUGAAUGGAGGAUGCAGAUGAUGUUGACUGGCUUCAUUACUGAGAAGGAGUUUUAGGGUUUUGAAAGAAAAGGGGUUAAUGGAAGAAGAAAAGAGGUUUGUCUUUUUUGCCCCUCUGAACAUAUUUGAUUUAACUUUGCUUAAUUAUUUUUUAAUAUAAAAAUUAAUUCAAAUUUAUUUUUAAUGCCACAUAAGAUAAAUUUAAACGGUCGUUUGUUUAAUUUAACGGCAAGUCUCUAAUUCUUCAAUUUUACAAAAAUAAGGACCGAAUUGAGAAGUUGAAAAAGAAAUGGACCUAAUUAAGAUUCAGGGCAAAAAUAAGGACUUACGGAACUAUUAAACCUAAAAAAAAAAGUUGUUAACUUAUCGCGAUCCACAAUCAAUAAAUCUCCUUUAACACGAAAACUACCUAAAAGCAAUAUCUAUAACUUAAUGUAGUAAGGAAUUUUGACCAAUAAUUUUUUAGACACAAAGUAAUAUGCUUAAACUAAGUAUAAUUUCAAUGUCUAAUCUCUAUGCAAACUAGUAGAGUCCAUUCUCUACCUAUUGUAAGGUAGUGUGGUGUUUUUAUUACACCACUUUUACUUUGCACGUGGGUAAAUGAUAUAGAACAAUUAUAUUUUUUGUAAUCACCAACAAGACCAACCCCUAACUCUGCUAUCAAAUAAAAAAGGACGGAUCUAACAAUGUGAUUAAAGGAAUUUGAGUAACCUCCACCGCUAACUCAACAUGCAAGAGUUCAUUUUCAAAUGUAUUUAGAAGUCUAUAUCACAUAUAUUCAACUAUAACUUCAAUUACUCAAAAAGCAACUUGAGCUGUAAGGAGUGCAAUGGGAAAACUCCAACCUAGAAAUCAAAACAAUAGAAACAAAAAUACAACCAAACUUAGGCAAAGACUAAAUUAGUUGAGAAAGUUAUUUUUCUCAAUUUAUAAAGUAUAAAAGAAAAAUUAAAUGGAUUUUUGAUGCAAAAAAGAAAUUUUAAUUUGAAAAGAAAAUUCAUAGGAUAGAAAUGGUAUUUUAUCAUGCUAGUAUAAGGUAGGAUAUGAUUAUGAAAAUGGAGCAUUGGAGUGAGACACUAAAAGAAAUAUUAGAGAAAAACAAACGUUUUUGCAUGCAUGAGAAAGAGAGAAUGAGGGGGAAGUUUUACAAUUUUUUAACUCAAAAAUUUGGGUUCCAUCUUUAAUUUUGUUUAUAUUUUUUUACAUUUACCAAACUAAAUUAUAUAUGUAUGGUCACAAAUGAAAUUAGUAAAUUUAGGAAUAAAUAUAAAAAUCACAUACUUUCAAAAAUAGAGAAACCAAAUGUCUCACCCGGUUUAUUCAAUCAUAAAUUGUAAUAGUUGGUACCUAAUGUUUUAACUAUAAUGUUUUAAUUAAUUAAAAAUAUAAAAAUAUUUAAUAACUUUAACUUUUAUAUUGAAUACUUCUUCGUUUAAAAAUAUGAUUUCAAAAUAGUAAUGUUUUCCCUUCCGAACAUAAAAUUCACUUCAAUAGUUUUCUAAAAUAAUACAGAAUUAUUCACUGUUUUUAUAAUCAUAUUAAAGAUUCGUGUAUUAUUUUAUCUUAAGUCCGUAAAAUAUCAUAUCGGUCGUUUAUCGACGAAAUAGGCGAAAACUGGAAAGCAAAGACUGAAGGGAUAUGUUUUGCUUAGCGAUGAAGGAAAUCUAUAUUACAAAUAAAUUAAAAAAACAAUGUCAUAAUCAAUUAAAUAUAAGAAAAAAAUAGUAAGAACCUGAUUCUAUUUUAUUUUCAUUGAAUUAACAUACCUAUAUAUUUUUGUCUGUGUCUGAAGUAGAUUCUAUUUAUACAUUCUACGAAUCUAAUACUGAUUCUGUGUUAACAUCAUACUUCAUUUUUGUCUGCCAUAAGCAGAUUCUGAUUAUAGCUGCAAUUGCAAAUAUAACAUGAUUGAGGUUAUACUUGCAACAUAACGAAAUACUUUCCCAAAAGGGCUCUUAUUUUCGUAUUGGCCCCAAAGGUUUUGGAAUAACAGCCCAUUACAAAAGAUACUUUAUUCUUUCUUUCUUCAAUCACUUUUAUUGCAGGAGGGCAGUUUGAGAUCUAUUUAGGUUAAACUCAUUCGGAGGUAUCUAUUUUUGUGUUUUUGUUUCACUUACAUUUCUGUCUUUUAUUCUUUCACCAAUUAGAUUCUUAAGAUUGAAAAAUUGAAAGAAUUUGACCUUUGCCGUUAAAUCAAGCUAACAGGAUUAACUUUCAGCUUACAUGUAAGGGUGAGGUGGAUAAAUAUGAUCACGUGGCGUGCACAGAAGGGUUUGUUUAUGUACGUGGCAUUAAAUUUAAAAAGUAGGGGUUUUGUUAAACAUUUUAAAAUUAGGGUUAUUUUAAAAUACAAUUAGGAUUAAAUCUCUUUCAGUAGUGGAGUGGUGGUUCCAACAGCACCGACUCGUCAUCACUGGCGAUGUCUACGGCUCAUCCUCAGUUGCGCCUCGGUGCUACUUCUACCGGUCUCUCCACCGUCAAGUGCAUGCAAAACGUGGCCGCCAAAGCCGUCGCGCAACGCCUCACUCGUGUCAUGGCAUCUCAGAACGCCAUCAUCGACGAAGGUGAAGAUGACGAUGAUCUCGAUUUCCGGUUCAGCGCUCCGCCUCCUACAUCUAUUUCUUCUUUCUCCAUCAACGCCAUCAGUAACAGGAGCACCAACACAAAUGCCUCCACUAUUCCUCCGAUUUUGGUUGCCAAGCCUAACAGAUCUACUUCUCCUACGAUAACUCUCUCUGCAAUUCGACACUGUUGGGUAUGUCACUGUUUGUCCAGAAUUUCAGGAAGAAAAUAGAAGAUAAACGUCACGCUAGAGAGAAAAAAUCACCAUGGUCGCGAACCGAACAGUGAGAAGGAAUUCAAAGUGAGCGCGUUGAAUGAAGAGAAAAAAAAAUAAAGUGAAUAAGAUUAACUGAAUAAGGAAUCCACCUUGUGGUCGCGACUACGGUAUUUGAACUGGCGAGGGAAAUAACGAAGGACGUAACUAAGGCCGUCAUCGGAGAGAAACAUCUCUGGUGUUAGUUUGGGCCUUGUUCGAGGAAGUUUCUUGGGCUUUUCGGUUGUGAAUCUGGGCUUGAAAGAAAAGGAAGAAGGAUUGGGAGUGGGAUUGGUGGAGGCGUUAGGGUUUGGAUUGGAAUUGGGAGCAGAGAAAGGACAGUCUCGUGACCAAUGACCUGGUCUGCCACACUUGUAACAGCCUGUGGCGGUUGCUGUUCCUUUUCCUCCAUUUUUUCACUUCUCACUGAUCACUCUCCUUUCCCAACACACCAUCUAUCUGUGGUGCGAUGGUGCUCCACCUGGACAGGAUAGAAUGCGGUGAUAGAGCUACGUGGUACAAGCAACUGUUAUCGGCAAUACUGCAGCAAUGAUUUUGAUGAUUGAGUGUCUGGUGCAGGAGGUGGUCGUCGGCGACGGUGUGGUAGCGAUCUAGGUGGCGCGGCGCAAAUAGUGAAGUAAGGAAGUUUUAGGGUUUAUGGAAGGAAGAAGGAAGAAUUUUCAGUUAUUUUAAAAAAUUUAUUCAGAAUAAAAAUUAAAUAAUACAAAUAAUUAAUAAUAAUAAUAAUAAUAAUAAGGUUAAGAAACACUAAUUUUUUAAUUCUUUGUUUAAGAUACUGACACGUGUAUAAUAAAACCAACGUAACAGGUUCUGUGCACACCACGUCACCAUAUUUGUCCACCUUACCCUCACAGGUAAGAAAAAAGUUAACCCCGUUAACUUGAUUUAACGUCAGGGGUCAAAUUCAUUCAAUUUUCCAAUCUUAAGGACCUAAUUGGCAAAAAAAAAAAGAUGAGGAUGCAAGUGGGACAAAAACACGAAAAUAGGGACCUCUGAAUGUGUUUAACCAUCUAUUUACCUGUAUUGAUGUUAAUUGAAGAGAAGGUGCUUAUUAAAUAAGUCUACUAAGUUCAUGGGGUACCAUAAUUGAGAUCUGGGACACUAGAUUGGUCGAAGAACCUUUAAUGAUUGGAUUGUGAAUAGGUGUAUGGUAAGUAAAAGUCUAUAUAAAUAUUAUAAAUAAAAAGUUUAAGGUAAUUGUUCACUUUUACUGCAACAUUUAGUAUAGCCUUUGGAUCAAUACUAAUUUAAGCAUCAGAGUGUAAUCUAUAAGUACACUUCGAACGAUUUGGACAACUUGAGACCUUAAGUAUUGAAAGGAGCUGAAAAUUGAAGUUAACCUAAGACCGAGACAUAUAGGAAAUGGAAAUGCUUGACCAAUCUAACAGAAACAUUUUUGUACCCACCGUGGGACCGAACGAGCACUUUUUUGCUGCUAUGGUAAUCACAAAGAACAUGACAAACAAUGAAGUACUAGAGGAGCAGCAUGUGGAUCCUAUGGCUAUGAUGCACGACAUGAGAAGGGAGAUGGAGACUAUGAGAAGGAAGCAUGAAGGAGAGAUGACAAUUUUGCACACAGAAAACACACUUAUGAAACAAAAACGGAAACUAAGGGACAUGUACAAUCCACCCCAACUCAACUUGGACCAACCAAACAACCAAGAAUCGAGCAUGAUCGAACAGUUCAGAAGAAAAAUUAUGGAGCUAGUAGAGAUCACAACCCAUCUGUCACUGUCACGGUAGACAUGUCUGGGUGCACCCGUUUACUAGUGGAAUCAUUAAGACCCCUUUACUAGACAAUUGGAAGAUGUCAACGUUUGACAAGUAUGAUGGAUCCACGAAUGUUAACGAGCACAUCAACAUUUGUCUAACGCAGUUGGUGUUAUUCACGUCAGAUGAUAUCAUUUAGUGCAAGGUAUUCCCAACAUCACUAAAAUGAGCCAUCCUCGAGUGGUUCAAGCUUCUAUCUGUCAACUCCAUCGGCUGCUUCGCCACAAUUAGAACGAAAUUUAGAACAUAAUUCACCACUAGCCAACAACAUCAUCUAACGUACAUAGCGCUUGUCAACAUUCGACAAUACAAAGAUGAAAUCCUCUGAACAUUCAUAGAUCAAUUUGGAAAGAUAUCUUCACAAAUAAAGGACCUAAGUCAUAAAGUGCCUAUGCAUCAGAUAAUUCACCAAAAAAACUUGUGGGAUCGUUCCCCAAUAGCCUGUUAUGCAGUCUACCACAAAUUUAGACGAUUUGAUAUAGAGAGUAGCAAAGUACAUGCAGCGAAAGGGCUUGAAAGGCUUUCGAAAGCAAAUGCGACUAUAAAGAGCAAAUGUAAAUAAGGGUACAAAUAAAAAAUCAUUCACCAAGAAUCAAGACUCAAAGUUACGGAGUCAAUCAGAGGUCCCCACUUCCAUAACCACACACCAUCGAACAAUGGUUGUUCGAAAAUCCUUUGGGAAGCUCUAAACACAUACUUGUUACCAUCACCUAGAAGAAAGGCAACCCUGUUGAACCUUGAUAGUAAUAAACAUUGUUAAUAUCAUCAUCACUUAGGCCAAAACAACGAUGAGUGUCUACCGCUAAAAUAUAAAAUAGAAGAGUUCAUCCAACUUUGACAGUUAAAGAAGUUUGUCAAAAUUGAUUAAACCCCUACCAUAGAGAAGAACCCCUAAAUGAGCAGUAUCAAUGUACAAAUAGUAUAAGGAGCAGCCUAGGUGAAGAAGCCGAAGUAAGAACAAGAGUCGGGAUGGUCCAUCGAGGGAAACAAUCAACACAACCUAAGGAGGUUUCGCUUGAGGAGGGCACACAAUAUUUUCCUAAAAGAAUCACAUUUGAGCAAUUAAAAUGAUGAAUCUCGUAGAGAAGAGAGUUAGAAGCACGCCCUUCAUCACAUUUUCUAACGAUGAUUAUAAAGCGCCUGACCCUGACCAAGACGACUUGAUGGUCAUCUCAAUCCAGCUAGCCGACUAUGCUAUAAGCAAGAUUUUGGUCAACCAAGGCAGACAAGAAGAAGAAGGAGUUGUGCUUACAACCUUCACGGCUUCCCCCGACCGAUUAGCAGAUUCCUCUUGCUCAACAAGUUCAACAGCAGCUUUGAAGAAAUUCUUCUUUAGAUUGUGGGAUGCCAUAAUCUCUGAAAGACAACAAAAAAUUUAGCUAGGUUAAAAUCAAGUCAAAAACAAACGACAAAAGGAAUGCCAUAUCGAACACCUCAGUACUGAGGUCCUCCCCACCAAGGCAAUUGAUUAUCUUUGAGGAAGGGAGCUGGCGAGGCAAGUCAUCAAGAACAUUGAGUGCCUCCUGCUCGGCCGGAGUCAUAUCUGACUGUAACCAGGAAGUCACCCAAGUAGGGUCUUCGGUCUAGUACAAAGAAAAUUUUGGUCACUCGUCUUCCCCAAAGAAUAGUAGAUGGCCAAACUCGGUUAAUUCUACCUUAAAAAAUUUAUCAUUGAAGCCCUUGAAUGAAAGAGAAUAAAGCUCAAAUAAGGCUUUCCCUUGCUCGAAGAUCGGGGCGACCCAACCGCGUUUCGGAAUAUGUCAGGUCCAAAAGUAGUGAAGAAAAAGAGCGCGGGUGUAGGUGUGAGGUCCAACACUUAGCAAACGAUGGCGAAGGCCUGAAUAUACCCCUAGUUAUUUGGAUGCAGUUGGAAUGGGGCAAUAUUUAGAGUACGGAGGACGUCCAUUUGAAAAGAGCUAAACGACAGAUACACAAACAUCUCAUGGAACAUAUAAGCGUAAGCGAAGAAGAAGUCACUCUUACUCCCUCCUUUUCCAUGAAACACACGGUCAUUCUCCUCACGGGCCAUUAACCUAAAUAGAGGACCAAAAUCCAUUGACCGCAACACAUAGUUACAAUCAGUCCAGUCCGCCAACUGACUCAUGUCAUGAGACGCUUCAAAAGUAGGUGGAGAACUCACUCACAUCAUGAGACGCUCAGUCGUAGCCCGCGACAAUGGGCAAAGCUCCCACCUGCUUGUUCUCCUCCUUAGCACCCUCCAUAAUCACCCCUCCAUAGACAAAGGUCCACUGACCGUUGAACAUAACCUCUUUAUUUUCUUCUACAAUGGAUUCAUUACCAUCACAACCACCAUCCCGCUCGGUUGACUCCAUGAAGGAGGAAGAAGACUCCGAGCCCACCGAGAAUGAGACCCCAUCAUUGCCCCACCCGCCCCUUCCCGAAGACUCCUCAGACGAAGAGAGGUUCAUGGUAGCCAUUUAUUACAUGAAUUAAAAAAAAGACAAAUAACACUUUCAAACGUUGGAUGAAAAUACGUGAAAAUUAUACAAUGGGUCUUUCCUAUUUAUAGGCAGCAAAUGGAGGACCCAAAGAUCGUCCUAACUGUUGGAUGUAAAGAAAUCCAACGGUCUGAUUCAAAGACUCCAUAACUUCCAUCCAGCAUGAGAAACGAAAAAUCACAUCCAACGGUUAAGAACAGCUGACCUUGCACAUUCCUAUCAACGCAUGAAAUAGAACCAAACGCCAAUGGUAACAAUUUCAAAAUCAAGGCAACACCCCACCCAAACCAUGCACGCUCACCAAACAGUUAGUAAAGUCCCUUGCACAUUCCUAUCAACGCAUGAAAUAGAACCAAACGCCAAUGGUAACAAUUUCAAAAUCAAGGCAACACCCCACCCAAACCAUGCACGCUCACCAAACAGUUAGUAAAGUCCCUUGCCAAACAUGUUCGUCUCGAACUUGGGAGUCUGUGUACUGUAUGAACCGACCGAUAUACGUAUACCGGUAGACCACACGAUUAAUCACCUUUAGAAACGCAUUACAACCAAAUUAAACGAACGGUCACUUACAACACUCAUCGUCGUUAGGUAUAAAGACUUUAGAUUAACAAAGUAAAAACAUACUUAAACAAUGUUAGGCUUACACUUAUCCAAAGAUAAAGACAUAGGUGAUUACAUUUGGCAUUUGAGACUUAAUUAUAACCAUUCGAUAAGACUAACUUGAAUAUCAAGAGUACAUUUCUCCUCAGAAUUUUGAGGAGAAUAACAACAUAUUAUAAGAAAGUUAAAGAGUUAAUUGAAGGCAACAAACUAGAUUAGUAUAUAUGGAAACACAUUAUUUAAAUUGUCACUCAAAACAUAUCUUAAUUACGUUUCCUCACUUCCGCAUCAAUUUAGUUUUUUUAUCAAUUUUUGUUUAAAUAUUUAGUCGAAACAUAUUCAAAAGUUACACAUUCAAGAUGAAAAGGAAAUAAUUUAAAAAAUAACCAAGAUAGUAAAAUAAAAUUUAUUGUGGAUAUGGAAUUGCUUGAUUUGAUUUUAACCCACAAAUAACACCAAUUCAAUCAAAUCCAAGUUAGUGUAAUGAGUGGAUUUGAUGAAACCUCAAUCACAACAUUGUCCAUAAUAAGAACACGAGAAAGAAACUAAAAUUUAAAAAGCACAGCAAAACUUCUUGCCGGGGAGGAAGAAAUGACAAACUUUGGUAUUUUCUCAUUGAAAUGGUAGACAAUAAUACAACAACGGUGUAACAUUGGUACAAUAAAGAUAUGUCUGUCACUAUUUGCUGCACGAGGACCUUCAAACUACUUAAUUCAUACAGAAUAUCUUUCCAUUAUGCCCCAAGAGAAAAGAAGAAACAUAUGUACAAGGGUUGAGCUUUUAUGGAACCCCUCCAGAGGGUCUCACUGUUUUGUGAAAGGCCGUGUAUAACAUUUGUGAAGGGAUAAAUCCUGAACUAUUGAGCAUAUAUGUAAUAGGCCAAGUCAAAUAAAAGCCGCAUCUUUCUGUUGUUAGUUUUCAAAUUUGUAUCAAUUGUGGGAUAAGCUUCAAAAGGAAAGAUAAAUCCUGCUGUGAAAAUUGUGGAUUUGAGUUCCCCUGCACCGUCACACUCCCCUCCGUAAAACCCUCCCCAUCACCACCCUUUUUUGGCUUUAUCAUAUCUGCAACUGCUUCGGUUAUUUCUUUAACCAGAUCCACAAUUACUCCAUCAAUUCCCAUUAGAUGUUGCAUGUAAACUGCCUCAGGAACAUUGCUGCAAUGUCAAAUAUAAUCAUGAGCCAAAAUGUUACACCAAACACAUUCUUUUCUCAAGCAAUUAACAAAGGAAAGAGAGUACUAAAAACAAGCAUACUUUAAUUUGCCGUAAGAAAGGAGGCAGAGCUUGGACUCCUUUAUCUUGGUUACUGUAGAAGGAUCUCUAAAAAUCCCUUUAAUUUCUGAGACAAUUCCUUCCAAUCCAUUCUCAACAGAGAGCUUCAUGGCCUCCUCCAGUGAGUUUCUUCUCACAUCUUCAUAGAUUUCACAUCCUCCAUUUGUCAAGAAAAAGACCUGGUUGUUCCCAACAAAUUAACCACAACAUCAGAUCCAGUUAAAGAAAUAAAAUAAUUUCUCAGAACUAAAAAGGCUUAAAGAACUAACAGGGUAGUUGCUUUGCAAUUUCCGGAUGAGCAAGGCUGCAUCUGGCUGGAAUGUUGAGAAGAUAAUAGGUCUAUCCUUGGCGUAUUCAAACACAACCUGCACCCCACAAAUACCAAAGACAAUGAGAGAUCCAAGUCACCACUUUUGAAAUGUAAAACUAAAACAAAACACUCAGUGUCCCCCAUAAACACAUUUUAGGCUUAAAAUAGACUCUCUUAGCGUACCUUUAAGAUGGUUUGAAGGACAUGGACGAGAUAAUCUUGCUCAUAGACAAUGUGAUCAUCGAACUUCAACUCAAUAUUAAAACCAAUAGCGGGUUCCACCUUCACAAAAGCCUCUUGGAGAGUGCAAAGUGAGUCAUCUUGUUCAACAUCCCAUGGCAUUAUCUUCCCAUCUUUUUUCCUUAGCAAAACCUUUCCCUCAUUGCCAUGCUCUCUCUGAGGCCCAUAAGAAAGAAACUCUGAGAGACUCAGCUCUGUGAUCCUCCUUCCAGUUACAGCACCCUGCAAAACACAUUAAUUUCAACGUAACAAACCCAAAAAACUCGACCCAUUGAAAAGAAAAAGAAAGAAAUCAUCAAAGCUAAGCAAAAACAAAAAAACUCACAUUCUCCUCCGAGAAGAUGAAAUCGUCGUGGAAAAUGACGGGGCAAUCAUCUCUCGUCACCUACAAAAAACGUGCAUUUUUUAAUUCGUUUUCUUUUUUUUUUCUAUAAAAAAUGCAACGCGUCAAACAAAAACAAACAAGCAGCCAAUCAGUACCGAACAGACGGUCAAAAAAGGGCCGAGAAAGGCAAAUUAUUUACAGAAAAGCCAUCGGGGUAAAAUAGGAAAAGAAGAAAAGUAGUUGUUGCGAAACACAAGAAGCGAAAACGGUGCGCGCGGUGGAACAUUAAAUUAUUGCAUUGAGUGCAAAAGCAGAAAGAGGAAAAUAAAAGAAAAGGUCACCUGAACGUCAAAUUCUAUGAAAUCGAGAGGAAAAGUAGAGGCGGCGUUGAAGGACAUAAUGGUAUUUUCCUUUAUGGCUCUCAUUCUUCGAUCCGAAGAUUGCAGAACGUUCAUGCCGUUACCCCUGUGGCCGAUGACGACGAACUUGGGCAUCUUGAAGCCACUCCGAGCAAUCUCGACCCCUGCAUUAACGAUUAAAAGAAUGUUAGGAAGAAAAGAUGGGAAGAGGAAGAAGAGAAGGAAAGAGAUGGAAAGAACCGUUGGGGAAGCGGGAGGAGCAGAGGGCGAGAGAGGCAUUCUCGGGGACGUGGUCAAGGGAAGGGACGUCGGUGACAUGGACGGCCUUGAGAGCCAUUUGGGUGGAAGGAAAGAGAGAAAGGAGGAAGGGGAAAGGGAGGUGGUGAUGAGGAGGGCACCGGAUGGUUUGUGGGUGAUGGUGGUGGUGGUGAAGAACAAGGCAUGGUUUGGUCCGCUAUUUAUUGCUUCCACCUACGCCAAAUUCACCCUCCAACGGAUCUCCCCACGAAUAUUCCCCUCCCAUCUAUAUGCUUGGGAUAUUCCCUUGUCAUUUUCCACCCUUUCAAUUUCAACCUACACUUUUUCUUUUUCUAUAUCUAUAUCUUCAACAAAAUAUGUCAUUAUAGAUUUUUUACUAAUUUAUUGGACUAGAUUUUCGUCUAAUAUAUUAAUAAUAAUACCAUAUUUAAAUAAAAUAUUUAUAUAUAUCAUCCAAAUAAGUUCAAAAUAAUAACUGAAAAUUUUGAAACCGAACAAUUUUUUUUUAUACAAAAUUUAAAAACAAACACCUUUUCAACCAUUUAAACCACUAAAACAACCAACAAUUGUUUUAUCUCUUACUACAACUUCCAAAAAUAAAGCAAUUGACCAUGAAUACCUUUCAAUUCCAACAGACUUUGAAGCUAGCAUAAAAAAAUCUUGAAACAAUAUCGGAUAACUAGGAAUUGGUUCGAUCAAUUUCCAGCACAAACUGUUCUAGACACCAAAAAUGGAAGCCCUAUGACCAUUUUAAGAGGAAAAGCUAUACAUCUUUUAAUUGGAUGAUUUUAUUUAUUUUUUAAAUAAAAAAAGUAAUUCUUUAUUUAUGUAAUAAAAUAAAUUAUUAAAUAUUGUUUGUUUAAAAAAAAUAAAUUUCUAAAAUAACACUUGCGUAAAAUUAUAUAUAUUUUGUAGUGAUUGGAAACAAUGCUGUGGUGGUGGCGGGUGAGAAGUGGCUGGGUGACAGCUGGGGUAUUAUGUUAUAGUCGUUGACCUGUGACAAGGCAAACUACAAGGUUUUUGAAGAAAAUCUGUGGUGGGAUCGUCCGAACAUUGCGGACUACGGUAUUUUAUAAGAUAGAGGAUGAAUGAAGAAACAUAAUUGAUCGGGUAUGACGUGGUGACACAACAGCAUGUAGAUAGAUAGAGAAAGGUGGGUGGUUAUAAUUGGAUAAGACUACAAAAAGGAUUUAGGAAUGACUCAUGGCUGCCUUUGCCAAACUAUUAAUUUUAUUUAAUGAUAAAAAUUGAUGUUGUCUUUGUACUUUUAGGAAAACAAACAAAAAGUUAAAAUACGGUGGAAACAAUUUGAUAAAAAAAUUGGAAUUUUUUUUGAAAAUAAUGUAUUUUAAUUAGUUUGAUAUAAAAUAGAAACAUUAGGAAAUAUCACAUUCUAUGUUUUUAAUCUUUACGAAAAUAUUUAUUAGUAUAAUUACGUGGUACAAGUAAAAAUCUUCUAGAUAAACUAGAAUUCUCUAUAAGUUGAAUUGCUGUCUGAUUGAGGAGAAGCGGAUUGAGCUUCAAGAAAAAGGAAAAGUAGAGAAAGAUUCAUGUACAAAAUAAAGUUAAUAAAAAAGUAUAAAUAGUAUAAGUGUGAAUAGGAGAUAUACCUGGAUCAAUAGACACACAUUAAAUCGAUUAAUAUUUCAUAUAUGAUAAUAAGAUCAAGAGAUAAUAUGAAUAAAUUUGGAUUGGACUCAAAUAAACCUUUAUUAUAAAAGUUAUUGGGUUUGGACUUAUUUAGUUUUAAAUAUAUAAUUUUGGUUUAAUAAAUUUUAAAUGAUUUUUAUUUUUAUAAAAUUAAAGUAUACAUGAGAGAGUCCGUGUAUAUAUUAAUCUCACAUGACAUUAAAAUCGAGUUUUAUAUUAAAAGUUUUAAAUGUACAAAGGUGAACUUCAGGGAAGACAAAGUAAAAAAAAUUAAAAAUUUUAAGUGGAUCUCCCUUUAAUUUAAAAAUGCAAAUGAGAUUGGGAAAAAGAAUCGAAGAUCCGUAUUAUUAGAUUUGUGUGAGAAAAAAAAAAUCGCAUUCUUUCGUUCAAAAUUUUCUUAAAAAAACUGAAUUUAUAUGUGAUAGUAGCUCAUCCUCUGCAAUUAUAAAAAUAAAAUAGACUAAAUUCUUAUUACAAAGCAAGAGAGGAGGAAAAGAUCUAAGAGUUUUUAUAUCUUGGUAUGCAUUUAGCUACAGUAUGAGCUCCAGAUUUAACUGAUAACAUAGUCCAUGUAAUUUAAUUUGGACAAUGAAUGAAAAGUGACAAUGACUUCCAGAUAUCCAUGAUUUAAAUUACAAUGGAAAAAUAGAAGAAGAAAUGAGGAAGAAUGUGAGGGACUGGGACUAAUUAAUAUAUUAAAUAUUUUACAUCUAACUCUCUUAAUGUAUACACUUCUUCUGAACUUUAUCUGAGAUGAACAGUUAUAGAGAUGAACAGUCAGAGAGGGUGUUGAAAGAGAGAGCUCCCAAUGCAAUUCACAUCCUCCGCUUCAUGCUCUACCAUAUCACUCUCAAAUGGCUGCCAUGCAAUGUGCUCUAACUUCUCUUAUGGACUCUCAAAACAAACCAUAUGCCUUCAACAAAUCAACAUUAGAAUUACCUUUCCAGGACGCUUCUUCUUCUUCCAGCAACAAUGAGAAAUUCUCUUCAAAAUCCAAAAAGUACUCCUCUAAUUUACACCUCACCAUCUUUCAGCCAUGGGAAAUCAUACACCCCAAGUCCCAACUCGAAUUCCCAUGCAUCUCAACAACAAUCCUCUUUCUCUCUAAUAAAGAACGAAGAAAGAAAGAACGAGCGAUUUUUUUCCCUCACACAAACCUUAUAAUACGGAUUCUUAAUUUUUUAAUGCCAUGUAUGAUUAAUGUAUACAUUGAUCAUAUCACGUAAGCGAAACUUAAACGAUCUUUUGUUCAAUUUGACGGCAGGCUCUAAUUACUUCAAUUUUUAAAAAAUAAGGAUCUAAUUAAGAUGGCAUAAAAAAAAAGGGACUUAUUUGACAUUUUGGACCAAAAUAGGAACAAACCGAGACAUUAAACCUAUAGUCUUUCAUAAUUAUUCUUUUCCAUUUGUUAUUUAAAAAACGUUAAAAUUAGAAAAUGUUAAUUUAUAUAACAAAGAUAAUAAAGAAUUUUAAAUGGAAAUAAUUAUAAUUUUAAAGCAUAAAAUUUAAUAAAUCUAUACUUAUAUAUAUAUAUAUAUAUAUAUAUAUAUAUAUAUAUAUAUAUAUAUAUAUAUAUAUAUAUAUAUAUAUAUAUAUUAUGGGUUUGUUAACGUGCGUAUGCCUCUUUUCAGUUGGUACAUUUUAACAAUGUGUACCGGAUUAUAGUAGACAAAAAUAUCAUCAUAUAUUAUGGAUUCUAAGUUUUAAAGUCAAGGAUAUUUAAAUAAUUUUCAUUCUGAAAACUAAAAAAAAAAAAGAAAUCCCCAAACCCUUACUCACCUCUCCCAUUCCUAUCAAUUCUUUCUGUUUCAUUUCUCUCACUCCAACUUUUUCUCUGUCAUUUUUACUAUAGCCCCAAUUAAAAAAAAUUAGAAAAACUUGCUGUUAAGAAAUUUCUUACAAAAAAAUGAUUUUAUAAUGAGUUUUCAUUUUAUAACUUUUGUCUUAUCUAAUUUUCACAAGCAUAAUGACAUAUGAAGGAAUUGGUAAUUCGCCUGAAAAAAAAAAUAAAAAACACUCGCUAUUAAACAAUUUCUUACAAAAAAUGAUUUUAUAAUGAGUUUUCAUUUUAUAAUUUUUGUCUUAUCUAAUUUUAUUUAAUUUUCACAAGCAUAAUGACAUCAGAAGGAAUUAGUAAUUGGCCUGAAGAUUUUUUAAGAAAUGACGAUUCAACAUCUGCAGAUGAUGAAAUUAGAGAUGUUAGUGAAGAUGAUGAAAUUGAAGAGAUCUUGAAUGAACCUUUGCCUGAAAGCGAAUAUGCCAAUGACUCAACUCUUUACAAAGGUAAAUUGUUUAAGGAUGAGUAUUUCUAAUUUUUUUUUCAAUUGGAUCUACCAUAGGAUGAUAGAGAAACGGUUGGAGUGAGAGAGAUGAAAGAGAAAGGAUUGAGAGGAAUGAGAGAGGUGAGUAAGGGUUUGGGUUUUUUUUUUNUUUUGUUUUGAGAAUGAAAAUUAUUUAAAUAUCCUUGACUUUAAAACUUAGAAUCUUAAUAUAUGAGGGUAUUUUUGUCUACUAUAAUCCGGUACACAUUGUUAAAAUGUACCAACUGAAAAAUAGGCGUACAUAUAUAUAUAUAUAUAUAUAUAUAUAUAUAUAUAUAUAUAUAUAUAUAUAUAUAUAUAUAUAUAUAUAUAUAUACAAACACACACACACAUACGGGGUUUGUUAACAUACGUAAGCUAUAUUUUUACAGUUAAUACAUUUUAGCAAAGUAUACCGAGUUUUAGUAGACAAAAAUACCCUUAUACAUUAUGGAUUCUAAGUUUUAAGGUCAAAGAUAUUUGAAUAAUUUUCGUUCUUAAAACUAGAAAGAAAAACAAGAAACCUGCAAACCCUUAGUCACCCUUCUCUCAUCCCUCAUUCCUCUCAACCAUUUCUCUUUUAUCACUCUCUGUAACCUUUUCUCUGUCAUCCCUAUAAUAGCCCCAACUGAAAAAAAAAAAAUCAGAAACACUCGCAUAACCCUAAUCCACCUUCCUCAUUUAUCCAAUUUGUUUCUCUCUCAUCUUCACCUCUCUCGUCCACACACAGUAACUCGCGACAUUGCAAUUUGUAGUUCUUGCUCUGUUCGUUCAUUUGUUUCCACUUUAAUAACAAAAUAAUUGAUGAUGUUGAUGUUGAUUUUUGAUUGAAGGGUUGUUAUAUUUUUUUCCCUUAUGAUUAUUAUUAAAUUUUGUUUUUAAAUUUUAGAAUUAGUAGUUUAUCUAUAGGGAGAUUUGAUAUUUUGACUAUUAAGUUGUCCGAAAAUAUUUUUCAGAAGAGAAAAAUAGUUACGUGGAAAGGCGAUUCCCGAAAGGGUAAGUCAUUGUCCAAAAAAUGGAUUUCUGAAGUCAGUUCUUAAAAAUAAUUCUAAAAACAUAUUUUGCGCUGAAAGCAAUACUUUGGAAUAUACUUUUCACCUUCCUGCAUAUAACCAACGUCAAAACACAACAAAAAAUGAAGCUCAUGUACAUCGUACUAAAUGAUUUAACAGGAAAAAAUUAUUGAAGAGAGUUAUGAACAUAAAAGAAUUUUGUUGUUGUCCACUAGACUUUUCACUCAAUUCUGGUUGUGUAAUAUUGUUCAUCACUCCUGAUGUCCACUAGACAAACUCGUCUAGGUACCGCUUAAUCCAACCAAGUUAAGCCUUAAGUGUUUGAAUUAUCUUCAAAAUAUGCAAUCAAUCAAAUCACCUACAAGUCAUUAGAUGAUUACUCUCAUAGUGAGGAUUUGCUUACAAUAUAAUUCAAUCUAAUAGACUUUUGAAAUUUUCUUUUUUCUUACAAGUGUAACUUUCUAACUCUAAACAACUCUGAGAGUAUUCUUGAUCUUUCAAUGAGGAUGAUUUUUCUUUAUAUUCCUUAUGUGUCCAUCCUUUUUUCCUUCUUAACCAGAUAUCUUCUCUUUAUAAGCGUUUUUUGAGAAUUUAGUCGUUAGAUGAUGCUUGUCUUUGAAUUUUAGCUCUUUGUAGCCUGCCUUUAUCAUAGGUGGUUGUCAUAGGUUGAGGUCUACUUGUCAAAGUAGGCUUACUUUUUUAGUACUUUAUCAAAAGUAGGUUGUACGAAUUCUUUGGCUCGACUUUUGAUAAGAAGGUCAUUCCAUGAAUGUCUUCUUUGUCUCUAACUUGUAUUUGAUAGAGAAGGUGGAUGCUUGACUUAGGUAAUUUGCAUAAAGUAGAGUAGAUAUUCAUACAAGCAUAUAUGUCUGUUUUCCUUUCACUUUUGCUAUUUUGAGACAUUGUGUUUUUUAAUGCGCGUUUAGAACAACUAUAAGUAUUUUAAAAUUUCCUUGCUCAAGCAGCAUUUGGUUGUUUAAGCAUUCUAGUAGAGAUACCUAGUAGAUCAUGAGAGUUUCAUCAUUGGAUGAAAACUUCGUUUAGCACAUGAUAUCGUUUAGCCUAUGCAAGGCUUUUCAUAAUAGUGCCUUGUUUAAUAAAUACUCGUUUGAUUUAAGAGCGCAUUUAGUGAGAUAUCUUUCAACAUCAAUUUUUGGAACAAUGAUUGUAUCUUUUAGCACAUUUACCAAAAACAUCAUUUUAUAUAUAUCAUAGUGAGAUCUUGUUUAGCUUUGUUUAGCAAAGUAUAGCACAAAUGUGUUUAACAAGACUCUCAUAUAGCUCAAUGACGCAUUUAGUAGUGAAAUCGUUUAGUAGUGCAUCUACUUAUGUAUUAGUGCAUUUAUUAAAGUUUUUUCUUUCAUGGAAAGUCUUUUUAUGUAGCGAUAUGAGUUUUACAAAGGUAAUACUUUGUUAAUCAUCUAUUUCGGUCAUAUUCUUAUUUACUAAUUCUCAAGUCAUGUGAAGAUGCUAAACAAUCUUGAUCUUAUCUUAGCAAACUUCCUUUCUUCUUGUAGUACUGAUUUAUUGUGUAGCACUAUCGUUUUGUAUUAUGUCUCUUCUUAGGAAUGAAUUGUUUUCUUUUAGGAUGAAGAUAUAUUCUUUUAUUUUACGAAUAUUUUAUUUGCAAUGCGUGAUUACUUGAUAGAUUCUUGCACUCAAUGUUUUGUCAGUUUUACUUGGACACUUCUUAUGCUUAUUGCUUUGUAAUUGUAUAUUUGUAGGCAUACUGUAUGUAGGCUUCUUCUAUGUUUCUAUGUUAUUUCAGCUUAUCUCUUUUGUUGUUUAACAACUUAUGUAACUUUAGAUGUAACCUUGAUUUUUACUUUGAUUUGGCUUGACAAUAUAGAUGCUUCUAACCUUAGACGUUUUUCUUUUGGACAUCUUUUUUCCGCUAAAUGGAUAACUAGAUGGUUUGCAAAGUCCACUUUCUAGUGUUUAGAUGAUUUUUCUUUUACAAUUAUCAGAUAAUGUCAUCGAUAAAUAUAUCAUCCAUAAAUAUCAUCCAUAAAUAUAAUGAAUAAUUGUACUUAAUUUAUCUAUCAUUCUAAAAAUAACUUUUUUUUCUAAUCGACUUAAUGAGUCCACUACUAAAUUUAUUAUUAUAUAUUAUUUAAUAAUAUUAUCUUGAAAAUAUUUUAUCAAGAUAAUUUUAUGAAAUAUUAAUUAAAAAACAAUAAACAUUUAUAACAUUUAUAAGAAAGUGUGAUAUUUGAGAAAAACAUAAUAUAAUAUUUAAAAUAAAAGACAACUUAUUAGAAGAAAUGAGAAGAACAGGGAUGGAACUAAAGGUUAAUAAAUAAAAUUGAUGUUUUUCUAUUUUUACAAUUAAUUAUUUUUAGAAUAAAAGUUGUGUAUGGAAUUAAAAAUUCUAUACAAUAAUUUGUUAAGAGAUAAAAUAUGGUCGUAGAGGAUUAAUAAUUUAUUUAUUAAUUUUUCUAUUACUUUUGAUAGUUAACCAUGGAUGAUUGUUAUAGUUUUUUAGAACAUUAGUUACUUUCCUUAGUUAGUUUUAAUUUUUUUUUUCUACAAAUAGUUGAGUAAAUUAUUUUUCUAUACCAUAUGUUACGGAUGUUUCUUUAAUUAGUUUUAUACUUUCUAGCAAAUAAUUAAACACAAUUAUUAUCUUACGCAUGAAUGUGAAACAUGAUAUAAAUGUGUAAAAUUAACUUAUGAAAUCUUAUGAAAUAUAUGUUAAUGAAGUUGAAUCUCAUUUUCAAUUAAAAGGAAAACAAACUGAAAGAAAGACAACACCAAUUUCAUUCAUGUAUUUAUGAGGUGUCAAAGUUUCAUUUUAACAUUUUGUCUUUUCACAUAAUAUUAAUUGAAAAAAAAAAGUAAUGAAAAGGUGGAGAAAAAAAUGUAUGAUUUUAGUAUGUCUUCCGUUGUAGCCAAAAAACUGCUCACUGAAAGGAAUUAAAAAAUAGAUUUGAAUAGGAGUCUGUCAGACAACCCUGCAACCAUCCCCAGCUUGUAAAGUCAGGGAACGAUCCUCUACAGCUGGUGAUGGGUCUCGUCCAGAAACGAAGCCCACACUGCCGUUAAUCACGCUCUGAUCACAGGGUAAUAAUUCAUCCACCAGACUUCAGUUCCUGUCUCCUUAGAACUUAAGGAUACAGAGGUACGAACCUAUAGAACAGAUCCUGUUCAAGUAAGGUCGU